RNAcentral lists this ribosomal RNA (496 nucleotides) under uncultured bacterium. RNAcentral's name for it is "partial 16S ribosomal RNA". It matches the Rfam family "Bacterial small subunit ribosomal RNA", at positions 28 to 507 of the family's 1533-position model. The record is from RNAcentral.
GAUGAACGCUGGCGGCGUGCCUAAUACAUGCAAGUCGAGCGAACAGACGAGGAGCUUGCUCCUCUGACGUUAGCGGCGGACGGGUGAGUAACACGUGGAUAACCUACCUAUAAGACUGGGAUAACUUCGGGAAACCGGAGCUAAUACCGGAUAAUAUAUUGAACCGCAUGGUUCAAUAGUGAAAGACGGUUUUGCUGUCACUUAUAGAUGGAUCCGCGCCGCAUUAGCUAGUUGGUAAGGUAACGGCUUACCAAGGCAACGAUGCGUAGCCGACCUGAGAGGGUGAUCGGCCACACUGGAACUGAGACACGGUCCAGACUCCUACGGGAGGCAGCAGUAGGGAAUCUUCCGCAAUGGGCGAAGCCUGACGGAGCAACGCCGCGUGAGUGAUGAAGGUCUUCGGAUCGUAAAACUCUGUUAUUAGGGAAGAACAAAUGUGUAAGUAACUAUGCACGUCUUGACGGUACCUAAUCAGAAAGCCACGGCUAACUACGUG